Molecule: ribosomal RNA, 403 nt
Filed under: uncultured bacterium
Lineage: Bacteria
Description: partial 16S ribosomal RNA
Rfam family: Bacterial small subunit ribosomal RNA
Source: RNAcentral
AUUGAACGCUGGCGGCAGGCCUAACACAUGCAAGUCGAGCGAGAGGCGGACGGGUGAGUAAUGUAUGGGGACUGCCCGAUAGAGGGGGAUAACUCCUGGAAACGGUAGCUAAUACCGCAUACUAUCGGAUAACCCAUAUGGGAUUAGCUAGUAGGUGGGGUAAUGGCUCACCUCGGCGACGAUCCCUAGCUGGUCUGAGAGGAUGAUCAGCCACACUUGGACUGAGACACGGCCCAGACGCCUACGGAGGCAGCAGUGGGGAAUAUUGCACAAUGGUCGCAAGCCUGAUGCAGCCAGGCCGCGUGUAUGAAGAAGGCCUUAGGGUUGUAAAGUACUUUCAGUCGGGAGGCGUUACCGACAGAAGAAGCACCGGCUAACUCCGUGCCAGCAGCCGCGGUAAUAC